UUCAUCCAAAGCCAUGUUUAGGCUUGGAUUUUCAGUCGAGUCAUGUACUAGUACUGCCAAACAAAAAAGGGUCUACCUAGGUGUGAUAGAAAACCUAACCCAACUCCAAACCACCACACUUAAUUGCUUAAGCCUUAGCCUUUUUUCAAUGCCCACGGUCAUCACUCAUUUUUAGGAACGAAGGAGGAUGAAUGAUAGUCUUGGAAAGAGAAUUGUUGAAUGUAUGGAAGAAAGGGGGAAGGAACUUAGAAGAGAAAAAAAAGGAUCCAAUAUAAAUCUGCAGAAAUACGCAGAAAUCUGCAAAAAAACAGCAAAGAGAAAAAAAAAGAAAAAAAAUACUAUUCACAUGAACAGUAACCCGACCUGUUACUGUUCACGAAAUAGUAACCUGACCGUUACCGUUCAUGGACUAGUAACCCGACCCGGUUACUCUUCCCCGCAAUAACUCCAAUAGGCAGAAGUAAUUCGGGAUUGGAAAAACACCUAUUUAUAAACUCGCUAAAGGAGCCUUUUUUGAUUAUAUUCCGCGCCGAAGAUUUGUGCUUGUGGGCUGGGGUGAAUAUAGCGGACCAGCGGAUCUGGUGGUCGACAAUCGUUCGGACUUGGUACCCCGACGUAUAAAUAUUCACAGCCCGGCUC
RNAcentral lists this long non-coding RNA (639 nucleotides) under Phoenix dactylifera (date palm). RNAcentral's name for it is "long non-coding RNA (PDAC_LNC020154)". The record is from RNAcentral. Lineage: Eukaryota; Viridiplantae; Streptophyta; Magnoliopsida; Arecales; Arecaceae.